UACGGAGGGUGCAAGCGUUAAUCGGAAUUACUGGGCGUAAAGCGUGCGCAGGCGGUUUGUUAAGUCUGCUGUGAAAUCCCCGAGCUCAACUUGGGAAUUGCAGUGGAUACUGGCAAGCUGGAGUACGGUAGAGGAAGGUGGAAUUCCCGGUGUAGCAGUGAAAUGCGUAGAGACCCGGAGGAACACCGGUGGCGAAGGCGGCUUCCUGGUCUGCAACUGACGCUGUGGCGCGAAAGCUAGGGGAGCAAACGGG
RNAcentral lists this ribosomal RNA (253 nucleotides) under uncultured bacterium. RNAcentral's name for it is "partial 16S ribosomal RNA". It matches the Rfam family "Bacterial small subunit ribosomal RNA", at positions 524 to 776 of the family's 1533-position model. The record is from RNAcentral.